GGAUGGAGCCACCUCAGGUGCAGAGCUUGGUGGUACUAGCAAAUAUUCAAACAAGAAUGUUGAAAGCCAAAGUGGAGAAGGGUUCCAUAUG
RNAcentral lists this microRNA precursor (91 nucleotides) under Otolemur garnettii (small-eared galago). RNAcentral describes it as "miRNA (ENSOGAG00000029590.1)". It matches the Rfam family "Eukaryotic large subunit ribosomal RNA", at positions 1425 to 1515 of the family's 3401-position model. The record is from RNAcentral. Lineage: Eukaryota; Metazoa; Chordata; Mammalia; Primates; Galagidae.